ACGGGUGAGUAACGCGUGGUCAACCUACCGUUGAGUGGGGGAUAACUAGCCGAAAGGUUAGCUAAUACCGCAUACGUCUCCGAGGGGCAUCCCUUGGCGAUAAGAGGAGCAAUCCGCUCGAUGACGGGACCGCGUCCCAUUAGCUAGAUGGUGGGGUAACGGCCUACCAUGGCACCGAUGGGUAGCUGGUUUGAGAGAGCGACCAGCCACACUGGGACUGAGAAACGGCCCAG
This 233-nucleotide ribosomal RNA is filed under the name uncultured bacterium. Its description in RNAcentral is "partial 16S ribosomal RNA". It matches the Rfam family "Bacterial small subunit ribosomal RNA", at positions 102 to 334 of the family's 1533-position model. The record is from RNAcentral.